GAUGAACGCUGGCGGCGUGCCUAAUACAUGCAAGUCGAGCGAACGGACGAGAAGCUUGCUUCUCUGAUGUUAGCGGCGGACGGGUGAGUAACACGUGGAUAACCUACCUAUAAGACUGGGAUAACUUCGUGAAACCGUAGCUAAUACCGGAUAAUAUUUUGAACCGCAUGGUUCAAAAGUGAAAGACGGUCUUGCUGUCACUUAUAGAUGGAUCCGCUCUGCAUUAGCUAGUUGGUAAGGUAACGGCUUACCAAGGCAACGAUGCAUAGCCGACCUGAGAGGGUGAUCGGCCACACUGGAACUGAGACACGGUCCAGACUCCUACGGGAGGCAGCAGUAGGGAAUCUUCCGCAAUGGGCGAAAGCCUGACGGAGCAACGCCGCGUGAGGGAUGAAGGUCUUCGGAUCGUAAAACUCUGUUAUUAGGGAAGAACAUAUGUGUAAGUUACUGUGCACAUCUUGACGUUACCUAAUCAGAAAGCCACGGCUAACUACGUG
This 497-nucleotide ribosomal RNA is filed under the name uncultured bacterium. RNAcentral's name for it is "partial 16S ribosomal RNA". It matches the Rfam family "Bacterial small subunit ribosomal RNA", at positions 28 to 507 of the family's 1533-position model. The record is from RNAcentral.